Molecule: ribosomal RNA, 468 nt
Filed under: uncultured bacterium
Lineage: Bacteria
Description: partial 16S ribosomal RNA
Rfam family: Bacterial small subunit ribosomal RNA
Source: RNAcentral
GACGAACGCUGGCGGCGUGCUUAACACAUGCAAGUCGAACGGAAAGGCCCUGCUUUUGUGGGGUGCUCGAGUGGCGAACGGGUGAGUAACACGUGAGUAACCUGCCCUUGACUUUGGGAUAACUUCAGGAAACUGGGGCUAAUACCGGAUAGGAGCUCCUGCUGCAUGGUGGGGGUUGGAAAGUUUCGGCGGUUGGGGAUGGACUCGCGGCUUAUCAGCUUGUUGGUGGGGUAGUGGCUUACCAAGGGUUUGACGGGUAGCCGGCCUGAGAGGGUGACCGGCCACAUUGGGCCUGAGAUACGGCCCAGACUCCUACGGGAGGCAGCAGUAGGGAAUAUUGCACAAUGGGCGGACGCCUGAUGCAGCAACGCCGCGUGCGGGAUGACGGCCUUCGGGUUGUAAACCGCUUUCGCCUAUGACGAAGCGUGAGUGACGGUAAUGGGUAAAGAAGCACCGGCUAACUACGUG